GUCCCUAUAGCUCAAUUGGUAGAGCGCGGUACUGUUAAUACCGUUCGUAGAUGUUCGAGUCAUCUUAGGGGCG
Molecule: transfer RNA, 73 nt
Filed under: Nemania diffusa
Lineage: Eukaryota; Fungi; Ascomycota; Sordariomycetes; Xylariales; Xylariaceae
Description: tRNA-Asn
Rfam family: tRNA
About the family: Transfer RNA (tRNA) molecules are approximately 80 nucleotides in length. Their secondary structure includes four short double-helical elements and three loops (D, anti-codon, and T loops).
Source: RNAcentral